This 253-nucleotide ribosomal RNA is filed under the name uncultured bacterium. Its description in RNAcentral is "partial 16S ribosomal RNA". It matches the Rfam family "Bacterial small subunit ribosomal RNA", at positions 524 to 776 of the family's 1533-position model. The record is from RNAcentral.
UACGGGGGGGGCAAGCGUUGUUCGGAAUUACUGGGCGUAAAGGGCGCGUAGGCGGCCUGCUAAGUCGGAUGUGAAAUCCCUCGGCUCAACCGAGGAACUGCAUCCGAUACUGGCGGGCUUGAAUCCGGGAGAGGGAUGUGGAAUUCCAGGUGUAGCGGUGAAAUGCGUAGAUAUUGGGAGGAACACCAGUGGCGAAGGCGGCGCUCUGGGCUGGAACUGACGCUGAGGAGCGAAAGCGUGGGGAGCGAACAGG